UGUGUGUGUGUGUACGCGCGCGCGCACCUAGGCAGUUGGCUCAUUCAUUAUCAAAUUAAAUCACACCCUCUAUGGAGAUGAAAAGCUGUUAUUAUUUGUUGCCGCUACGCCGAAAUAUCAUCUGGCGCCUUAGAGUCCAGCCAUAAAAAUCAAUAGUGCUGGCAGAAUCCCAUCCCAGCAAGGGCGCCACCAAGUGAGGGAACGCGCGUAGGUCAAGCAUACUAUUGAGGAAUGCAUUGCCAUCUUCGUGAGAGCUUCGGUUGUAGCUGCACUUGCUCCAGUAACAGGAUUAAAACAUUGCUACAAACUUUCACGCUUGGAAACUACAUAUGUAGAGAAGAUCACUGGCAAAUCACUGGUUGGACACAGGCACAUAUGAGGUAGCCAAGAUGUUCAAGGAAGUAUCCCAGGGCACCGCUUUUAUUAUGAGGAUGGUGGAAACCCUCAAGGCUUACAUUGGUGAGACACAGACAGACAGAUGGACAGGAAGACAGUGAACAGACACAAAACAUAAGCCAAGAAGCUGUGACUUUGCAACUUGAUGGGAGUGAAAGGCUGACUGUCCAUUGCAAGUAUAAUGUGUGUGAUUACUCCAAGGGAUCAAAAAUUCUAUACUUCAUACUCUGAGGGA
Molecule: long non-coding RNA, 631 nt
Organism: Scylla paramamosain (green mud crab)
Lineage: Eukaryota; Metazoa; Arthropoda; Malacostraca; Decapoda; Portunidae
Exons: 3
Source: RefSeq, a predicted model, not a curated record